CUACAGCCGGACAGUACCCUGGAGGCCGCACUCGAACCCGCUCCGAUCUUCAAUUCGGAGCCGGCUGCGCAGAUCGAGGAAGGAUGGCUAGACACCGCCUCGGGGCCUGCAACCUCUACGGUGAUAGAGCCGAACAAUGACCUUGUCCCUCAUGAAGCUCGUGACUCUGAGGUGCCGGACUCCGAACCUCCCGCGCCCCCUCCGAUCGAAUCCGAUUGGGCACCGAUCAUGGAGUUCACUGCAGCAGACAUCUUUCAACACUCACCUUUCAGCAAAAUCUUGAGUUCGCUAAAGUAUCUCUCGUUAUCAGGAGAGCCCUGGCCGGACUGCGGUCAGGACGAUUGGGAUGCGGACGACGAAGAAAUUCAAAGCCCACCCACCACCCACUUGGUAGCCACUGUCGAC
This 405-nucleotide ribosomal RNA is filed under the name Triticum aestivum (bread wheat). RNAcentral's name for it is "partial small subunit ribosomal RNA". The record is from RNAcentral. Lineage: Eukaryota; Viridiplantae; Streptophyta; Magnoliopsida; Poales; Poaceae.